Long non-coding RNA from Vicia villosa (hairy vetch), 879 nucleotides. RefSeq lists it as uncharacterized. Lineage: Eukaryota; Viridiplantae; Streptophyta; Magnoliopsida; Fabales; Fabaceae. The transcript is spliced from 6 exons. The record is from RefSeq and is a predicted model, not a curated record.
UUUGUUUCCUCUUCUCCCUCACGCAAAGAAAAACCCUAAACACCCAAAAAAACAUUGUUCUUCUCUCAUGCACCUCCGUGCUCCGCUGCCCCUCUCAAAUUUAACACAUUCGACGACAUUCAUACAAAUCCCUAAAUUUCGUUGCUCCGUUCUACAUUUUUUCGGUGAAAUUUACGCGACGGCUUUCCUUGCUUGUAAAUUCCGCUGAAAUUAGAAGACACGGUUAUGGCUGUUGAUUUUGGUACUGUAAUCGUGUUCCAUUGCACCUAAAAUUUCAGAAGAAGAUCAACAAAAAAAAAAAGCCGAAAAUGAAGGGAUAUGAAUUAGGGGAUAUCUACACAGAGCCGAAAAUGAAGAUGGUAAACUCCUUCAACCUCAAGACAGCUGCAGCAGGGAUUAAACGCAUCAAUCUCGAUGGUCUCUAGUGGCAAGUUUUCGAUGCCAAGGGCCAGAUACAGACGAGAAUACUAUAAAAGAACUUCCAAUUUCUCUCUAAUAAUUUAUAAUGAUUGGACCAGUAUUGGUGGAGUAUUUUGACACCAUUUAGAGUUGCAAGAAUCUCUCUAGUUAUACAUUCAUGAAGCCAUACGUACUUUUAGGGAGGCAAGAAGUUUAUGCUGGCACCAUAGAAAAUAUGCACCUACACCAGAAAUAUGGGAGAUAGAGAAGAUACUUGUAGAAGGAAAUAUUUAUCCCAAGUUAAACCCAUUGUGAUAUAUUUGGAAGUUGAGAGUGAUGAGAUGUUGGUAUCUGUAAACAAAGAUACCAAAGGCCAUAUAAUUAUUUAUUUGUUGACAUUAAUGGUCAUAUUUAUGUAAAUACUUAAUUCAGUUAAAAAUCAUAGAACAAGGUCCUUUUUUACUAUUAUAUUAGUUUUGU